UGAGGAAUAUUGCACAAUAGGCGCAAGCCUGAUGCAGCAACGCCGCGUGGACGAUGAAGGCCUUCGGGUUGUAAAGUCCUUUUCUGGGGGAAGACAUGGACGGUACCCCAGGAAUAAGUGUCGGCUAACUACGUGCCAGCAGCCGCGGUAAAACGUAGGACGCGAGCGUUAUCCGGAUUUACUGGGCGUAAAGCGCGUGCAGGCGGUCUGUUAAGUCGUGCGUGAAAGCUCCCCGGCUCAACCGGGGGAGGUCGUACGAAACUGGCAGGCUUGAAGGCAGCAGAGGAGGGGGGAAUUCCGGGUGUAGUGGUGAAAUGCGUAGAUAUCCGGAGGAACACCAGUGGCGAAGGCGACACUCUGGGCUGUACCUGACGCUAAGACGCGAAAGCAUGGGU
This 395-nucleotide ribosomal RNA is filed under the name uncultured bacterium. RNAcentral's name for it is "bacterial SSU rRNA". It matches the Rfam family "Bacterial small subunit ribosomal RNA", at positions 355 to 766 of the family's 1533-position model. The record is from RNAcentral.